UACGUAGGGUGCGAGCGUUAAUCGGAAUUACUGGGCGUAAAGCGUGCGCAGGCGGCUUCGCAAGUCAGGCGUGAAAUCCCCGGGCUUAACCUGGGAAUGGCGUCUGAAACUACGGAGCUGGAGUGUGGCAGGGGGAGGUAGAAUUCCACGUGUAGCGGUGAAAUGCGUAGAUAUGUGGAGGAAUACCGAUGGCGAAGGCAGCCUCCUGGGCCAACACUGACGCUCAUGCACGAAAGCGUGGGGAGCAAACAGG
RNAcentral lists this ribosomal RNA (253 nucleotides) under uncultured bacterium. RNAcentral describes it as "partial 16S ribosomal RNA". It matches the Rfam family "Bacterial small subunit ribosomal RNA", at positions 524 to 776 of the family's 1533-position model. The record is from RNAcentral.